GAGCUUAUUGAAGAGUGAUUGCUAAUUAGAUAGUCUUUUCUUUUUUCUUUGUUUUUUUUUUCUUCUUUUUUUUUCUCUUUUUUUUUUUCUCUUUUUUAGGGAGUGUUAGUUUUUUUUUUCUUUCACUCCAUUAUUUUAGUGGAAUCAUCAUUAUUAGAGAAACGAACGUAGCCCACAGGUUGAGCGCGUUUUUAUCAUCGUUCUUGCCACUUGAAAAGAAGUUUCGAUUGGUCUACUCAUUUCUGUAAAGGAUAUGAUGGGAGGUAUGGGAAAUGAAAACGAUUUUAAAGACGAACAAGAAACGAGAGAAGAUCAUAAUGGAGAAGAUGUUGUAGAAUCGAGUUCAUCAUUUCUAUCUGAUUUGAAUCUUCUAUUUGUGCUUCUAUCAUUGAUUUCUCCAAAUACAAAUGAAGAUUCGAAUGAUGGUAAUGGAGUAUCAACGAGGAUGAAAGAAAUUGAAGGUAGUACAACAUAUAAUAUUGCAAAAUCGAGCAUAAGGAAAAAAGAUGUGAUUGAAGCCCAACAUGAAAGUCGUCGAAAAGUACCUCAAAGGUUUCAUACAACAAUAAAAGAUCACAGGCAUGGAAGAAAAAUGUGAACCAAUCAACGAAGAAAGAUGAAUGGAUAUUAAAAAAAAAACUAAUAUAGGUAACCACUUUUGUAAAAGUUUUGACACAAUCAACACAUGAACAAGAUACCCAAGUGAAGGUUAAUUUGAUCGUCAAGCAAAAAGUUGAUAUGAUAAUCUUUUUUUUUUAUUUAUAUAUAUCAAGUGAAAUGUGAGAUUUUGCACUUUCAACUUUGAAAUGUAUAGUAAAUACUCAUUAACGUUAAUGUGGCUGAUGCAAGUAAAUUUCAACAUUCUAUA
Molecule: long non-coding RNA, 868 nt
Organism: Cucumis melo (muskmelon)
Lineage: Eukaryota; Viridiplantae; Streptophyta; Magnoliopsida; Cucurbitales; Cucurbitaceae
Exons: 3
Source: RefSeq, a predicted model, not a curated record